CCUACGGGAGGCAGCAGUGGGGAAUAUUGGACAAUGGGCGAAAGCCUGAUCCAGCAAUGCCGCGUGAGUGAUGAAGGCCUUCGGGUCGUAAAGCUCUUUUACCAGGGAUGAUAAUGACAGUACCUGGAGAAUAAGCUCCGGCUAACUCCGUGCCAGCAGCCGCGGUAAUACGGAGGGAGCUAGCGUUGUUCGGAAUUACUGGGCGUAAAGAGUACGUAGGCGGUUAUUCAAGUCAGAGGUGAAAGCCCGGGGCUCAACCCCGGAACUGCCUUUGAAACUAGAUAACUAGAGUCUUGGAGAGGUUAGUGGAAUUCCGAGUGUAGAGGUGAAAUUCGUAGAUAUUCGGAAGAACACCAGUGGCGAAGGCGACUAACUGGACAAGUACUGACGCUGAGGUACGAAAGCGUGGGGAGCAAACAGGAUUAGAUACCCUGGUAGUCCACGCCGUAAACGAUGAUAACUAGUUGUUCGGUCACUUGGUGACUGAGUGACGCAGCUAACGCAUUAAGUUAUCCGCCUGGGGAGUACGGUCGCAAGAUUAAAACUCAAAAGAUAGUAGGACGUGAGACGUAGCGACGACGACACACGGGAGGUAAGGAG
This 600-nucleotide ribosomal RNA is filed under the name uncultured bacterium. Its description in RNAcentral is "bacterial SSU rRNA". It matches the Rfam family "Bacterial small subunit ribosomal RNA", at positions 338 to 953 of the family's 1533-position model. The record is from RNAcentral.